CAGCCGCCGCGGUAAUACGUAGGGUGCAAGCGUUAAUCGGAAUUACUGGGCGUAAAGCGUGCGCAGGCGGUUAUAUAAGACAGAUGUGAAAUCCCCGGGCUCAGCCUGGGAACUGCAUUUGUGACUGUAUAGCUAGAGUACGGCAGAGGGGGAUGGAAUUCCGCGUGUAGCAGUGAAAUGCGUAGAUAUGCGGAGGAACACCGAUGGCGAAGGCAAUCCCCUGGGCCUGUACUGACGCUCAUGCACGAAAGCGUGGGGAGCAAACAGGAUUAGAUACCCGCGUAGUCCCUGUCUCUUAUAC
This 301-nucleotide ribosomal RNA is filed under the name uncultured bacterium. RNAcentral's name for it is "partial 16S ribosomal RNA". It matches the Rfam family "Bacterial small subunit ribosomal RNA", at positions 509 to 807 of the family's 1533-position model. The record is from RNAcentral.